GCUUUACUAUAACUUGAAAUUGGGUCCGGGCUUCGCUUGCGCAGGAUAGGUGGGAGAGGUUGAAGUACCCCUUGUGGGGGNGUAUGGAGUCAACAGUGAGAUACCACUCUGGCGAGGCUAGAAUUCUAACCUUAACCCCUCAANNNCGGGGAAAGAGACAGUUUCAGGCGGGUAGUUUGACUGGGGCGGUCGCCUCCUAAAAGAUAACGGAGGCGCGCAAAGGUUCCCUCAGGCUGGUUGGAAAUCAGCCAAAGAGUGCAAAGGCAGNAAGGGAGCUUGACUGGGAGACUGACAAGUCGNAACAGGGACGAAAGUCNGGCCUUAGUGAUCCGACGGCACCNGUGUGGAAGGGCCGUCGCUCACCGGAUAAAAGUUA
Molecule: ribosomal RNA, 376 nt
Filed under: cyanobacterium 64.2
Lineage: Bacteria; Bacillati; Cyanobacteriota
Description: partial 23S large subunit ribosomal RNA
Rfam family: Bacterial large subunit ribosomal RNA
Source: RNAcentral